This 74-nucleotide transfer RNA is filed under the name Cyanobacteria bacterium M_DeepCast_200m_mx_001. RNAcentral's name for it is "tRNA-Arg". It matches the Rfam family "tRNA". Rfam says of the family: Transfer RNA (tRNA) molecules are approximately 80 nucleotides in length. Their secondary structure includes four short double-helical elements and three loops (D, anti-codon, and T loops). The record is from RNAcentral. Lineage: Bacteria; Bacillati; Cyanobacteriota.
GCUCCCUUAGCUCAGCUGGAUAGAGCAGCUGCCUUCUAAGCAGCCGGUCCCGUGUUCGAAUCACGGAGGGGGCG